CCUACGGGAGGCACCAGUGGGGAAUAUUGCACAAUGGGCGCAAGCCUGAUGCAGCCAUGCCGCGUGUAUGAAGAAGGCCUUCGGGUCGUAAAGUACUUUCAGCGGGGAGGAAGGUGUUGUGGUUAAUAACCACAGCAAUUGACGUUACCCGCAGAAGAAGCACCGGCUAACUCCGUGCCAGCAGCCACGGUAAUACGGAGGGUGCAAGCGUUAACCGGUAUUACUGGGCGUAAAGCGCACGCAGGCGGUCUGUCAAGUCGGAUGUGAAAUCCCCGGGCUCAACCUGGGAACUGCAUUCGAAACUGGCAGGCUAGAGUCUUGUAGAGGGGGGUAGAAUUCCAGGUGUAGCGGUGAAAUGCGUAGAGAUUUGGAGGAAUACCGGUGGCGAAGGCGGCCCCCUGGACAAAGACUGACGCUCAGGUGCGAAAGCGUGGGGAGCAAACAGGAUUAGAUACCCGUGUAGUC
Molecule: ribosomal RNA, 465 nt
Filed under: uncultured bacterium
Lineage: Bacteria
Description: bacterial SSU rRNA
Rfam family: Bacterial small subunit ribosomal RNA
Source: RNAcentral